This 387-nucleotide ribosomal RNA is filed under the name uncultured Gemmatimonadota bacterium. RNAcentral describes it as "bacterial SSU rRNA". It matches the Rfam family "Bacterial small subunit ribosomal RNA", at positions 958 to 1392 of the family's 1533-position model. Lineage: Bacteria; Pseudomonadati; Gemmatimonadota. The record is from RNAcentral.
AACGCGAAGAACCUUACCUAGGUUUGACAUGCAUGAAACUUUGGAAACAGGAAGCCUUGGAACAGAUGCACAGGUGCUGCAUGGCUGGAGCGUGGUGAGAUGUUGGGUUAAGCCGCAACGAGCGCAACCCUUGCCCCGUGUUACUAACAGGUAAAGCUGAGGACGGGGGACUGCCGGCGAAGCCGGAGGAAGGUGAGGACGACGAAGAAUGGCCCUUACGCCUAGGGCGACACACGUGCUACAAUGGCGAGGACAGAGGGCAGCAAAGCGGCAACGUGGAGCGAACCAGAAACCGUAAGUGGAUUGUGGGCUGCAACGCCCACAUGAAGCCGGAAGCUAGUAAGCGGAAGCCAUGCCGCGGUGAAUACGUCCGGGUUGUACACACCG